UGAGGAAUAUUGGGUCAAUGGGCGGAAGCCUGAACCAGCCAAGUCGCGUGAGGGAUGACGGUCCUACGGAUUGUAAACCUCUUUAGCCGGGGAGUAAAGUGAGCGACGUGUCGCUCAUUGAGAGUACCCGGAGAAUAAGCAUCGGCUAACUCCGUGCCAGCAGCCGCGGUAAUACGGAGGAUGCGGGCGUUAUCCGGAUUUAUUGGGUUUAAAGGGAGCGUAGGCCGGAGAUUAAGCGUGUUGUGAAAUGUAGACGCUCAACGUCUGCACUGCAGCGCGAACUGGUUCCUUGAGUACGCACAAAGUGGCGGAAUUCGUGGUGUAGCGGUGAAAUGCUUAGAUAUCACGAAGAACUCCGAUUGCGAAGGCAGCUCACUGGAGCGCAACUGACGCUGAAGCUCGAAAGUGCGGGUAUCGAACAGGGAUUAGAUACCCUGGUAGU
RNAcentral lists this ribosomal RNA (442 nucleotides) under uncultured Prevotella sp. Its description in RNAcentral is "bacterial SSU rRNA". It matches the Rfam family "Bacterial small subunit ribosomal RNA", at positions 355 to 794 of the family's 1533-position model. Lineage: Bacteria; Pseudomonadati; Bacteroidota; Bacteroidia; Bacteroidales; Prevotellaceae. The record is from RNAcentral.